AGCAGCCGCGGUAAUUCCAGCUCCAAUAGCGUAUAUUAAAGUUGUUGCAGUUAAAAAGCUCGUAGUUGAAUUUCGGGAUCAAUAUGCCGGUCAUGCCUUGGUAUGCACUGGUAUCUUUGAUUUCUCCCUUCUGACGAACUUUGAUGUCAUUAAUUUGGUGUCAUAGGGAAUCAGGACUGUUACUUUGAAAAAUUAGAGUGUUUAAAGCAGGCUCACGCUUGAAUACAUUAGCAUGGAAUAAUGAAAUAGGACGUUUGAUUCUAUUUUGUUGGUUUCUAGGAUCGACGUAAUGAUUAAUAGGGAUAGUUGGGGCAUUAGUAUUCAAUUGUCAGAGGUGAAAUUCUUGGAUUUAUUGAAG
RNAcentral lists this ribosomal RNA (358 nucleotides) under uncultured Glomus. RNAcentral describes it as "SSU rRNA". It matches the Rfam family "Eukaryotic small subunit ribosomal RNA", at positions 569 to 934 of the family's 1831-position model. Lineage: Eukaryota; Fungi; Glomeromycota; Glomeromycetes; Glomerales; Glomeraceae. The record is from RNAcentral.